This 253-nucleotide ribosomal RNA is filed under the name uncultured bacterium. RNAcentral describes it as "partial 16S ribosomal RNA". It matches the Rfam family "Bacterial small subunit ribosomal RNA", at positions 524 to 776 of the family's 1533-position model. The record is from RNAcentral.
UACGUAGGGGGCUAGCGUUGUCCGGAAUCAUUGGGCGUAAAGCGCGUGUAGGCGGUCCGGUAAGUCCGCUGUGAAAGUCGGGGGCUCAACCCUCGGAUGCCGGUGGAUACUGUCGGGCUUGAGUACGGAAGAGGCGAGUGGAAUUCCUGGUGUAGCGGUGAAAUGCGCAGAUAUCAGGAGGAACACCGAUGGCGAAGGCAGCUCACUGGGACGGUACUGACGCUGAGGCGCGAAAGCGUGGGGAGCAAACAGG